RNAcentral lists this ribosomal RNA (523 nucleotides) under uncultured bacterium. RNAcentral describes it as "bacterial SSU rRNA". It matches the Rfam family "Bacterial small subunit ribosomal RNA", at positions 1 to 507 of the family's 1533-position model. The record is from RNAcentral.
CGAAAAGUACUAUCAAUUAAAUAAAAUGGUGAAACAAAAGAAUAGCGAAGAGAAGCAAAUGCGCUUCAACGCUAAUUCCAAGUACCAACACAAAACAAAUUCAAUGUUUGGUGAAGCAACUUGCUUAGUGGCGGACGGGUGAGUAACGCGUGAACAAUCUGCCCCGUACAAAGGGAUAGCCUCGGGAAACCGGGAUUAAAACCAUAUAACACUUAACUGCCGCAUGGUAGUGAAGUCAAAUCGAGUAAGAGGUAUGGGAUGAGUUCGCGUCUGAUUAGCUAGUUGGUGAGGUAAGGGCUCACCAAGGCGACGAUCAGUAGCCGGCCUGAGAGGGUGAACGGCCACACUGGAACUGAGACACGGUCCAGACUCCUACGGGAGGCAGCAGUGGGGAAUAUUGCACAAUGGAGGGAACUCUGAUGCAGCGACGCCGCGUGAGUGAAGAAGGUCUUCGGAUCGUAAAACUCUGUCCUUGGUGAAGAAAAGGACGGUAGCCAAGGAGGAAGCCCCGGCUAACUACGUG